UACGUAGGGGGCAAGCGUUAUCCGGAUUUACUGGGUGUAAAGGGAGCGUAGACGGCGAUGCAAGUCUGAAGUGAAAGGCGGGGGCCCAACCCCCGGACUGCUUUGGAAACUGUAUGGCUGGAGUGCAGGAGAGGUAAGUGGGAUUCCUAGUGUAGCGGUGAAAUGCGUAGAUAUUAGGAGGAACACCAGUGGCGAAGGCGGCUUGCUGGACGAUGACUGACGCUGAGGCUCGAAAGCGUGGGGAGCAAACAGG
RNAcentral lists this ribosomal RNA (253 nucleotides) under uncultured bacterium. Its description in RNAcentral is "partial 16S ribosomal RNA". It matches the Rfam family "Bacterial small subunit ribosomal RNA", at positions 524 to 776 of the family's 1533-position model. The record is from RNAcentral.